AAACCAAAAUCAGAGGCGGCUCUUCUACUGUUCUUCUUCUUUAGUGAACUCGCCUCAACUCGCAUGAGUUUUGAGCGAGUUCACUCAUUGGUCGCCCCCUUCACGUCACCUCAUCCUCAACGGAUUUGUCAGAGGAGUACGAUAUUCUCUCAAAAUGCACGAUUUCGGAAUCAAAAGGACAAUUGUUAGACGAAUGGGAGCCGUGGAUAGAUGUGAAUCAAUCCACUCCCUCCAUUUGUCCCGAAAUUGUUCAAUAAAUCUGAAGAUUUUCGGAUUCUAGGCAGAAGCUUCGAGAUAUUUUUGAGGUUUAUAUAUAAGGUAAGUUCUUUUCUUGUUAAGGAGGAAAAAAUUUUCAGAAAAAGGGUAGAGUAAAAUUUCUAGGGUUCUUGAGCUUUUUUCUUUUAUUCCUCAAGCUUUGGUAUGCUUUUCUUCAGAAAACGAAAAAAAAUUAGAAAAUGGUCUAAGUUUGUGUUGUUCGUUAAAAUUUUGUUUCCAAAGAAACCAGAAGAUUCUACGGCUUUUGUUGUUGUCCUGUUACUGUGAAGCUUCAUCUUCAGCUUUCUUCUUCUUUAAACUUUGUCGAGGAAAGGAAGAGGAACUCGCCGGAUUUCGGAUCCUACAAUUAUAGUUAUUUUCUGUGUUUUGCUCAUAUAUCCGAGAUCUUUUUGUUCAAACAGGUUUUCUCUCAGUUCCUCCUCGUCUCGUUAUUUUUUUUUUCUCUCUGCCUUGGAUUAUGUUUUAAUUUCAGUAAACGGAUGGUUUGAGUUAUUGUAUUUAAACAUUAAUCUAAUUAUGGUGGCCAAAAGAAGCCUAGGAUUAUGAAACCUUGAAAAAUCCUCUGUUUAGCUUAAUGCACUAUUGC
Molecule: long non-coding RNA, 862 nt
Filed under: Nicotiana tabacum (common tobacco)
Lineage: Eukaryota; Viridiplantae; Streptophyta; Magnoliopsida; Solanales; Solanaceae
Description: long non-coding RNA (NTAB_LNC018605)
Source: RNAcentral